CAGUUUAUACCGUAGCUUGCUACACCAUAGACUGUGAGUUGCGAACGGGUGAGUAACGCGUAGGUAACCUACCUAUUAGAGGGGGAUAACUAUUGGAAACGAUAGCUAAUACCGCAUAACAGUAUGUAACACAUGUUAGAUGCUUGAAAGAUGCAAUUGCAUCGCUAGUAGAUGGACCUGCGUUGUAUUAGCUAGUAGGUAGGGUAAUGGCCUACCUAGGCAACGAUACAUAGCCGACCUGAGAGGGUGAUCGGCCACACUGGGACUGAGACACGGCCCAGACUCCUACGGGAGGCAGCAGUAGGGAAUCUUCGGCAAUGGGGGGAACCCUGACCGAGCACCGCCGCGUGAGUGAAGAAGGUUUUCGGAUCGUAAAGCUCUGUUGUUAAGGAA
Molecule: ribosomal RNA, 393 nt
Filed under: uncultured Streptococcus sp.
Lineage: Bacteria; Bacillati; Bacillota; Bacilli; Lactobacillales; Streptococcaceae
Description: bacterial SSU rRNA
Rfam family: Bacterial small subunit ribosomal RNA
Source: RNAcentral